Molecule: ribosomal RNA, 465 nt
Filed under: uncultured bacterium
Lineage: Bacteria
Description: partial 16S ribosomal RNA
Rfam family: Bacterial small subunit ribosomal RNA
Source: RNAcentral
CCUACGGGAGGCAGCAGUAGGGAAUCUUCCACAAUGGACGAAAGUCUGAUGGAGCAACGCCGCGUGAGUGAAGAAGGGUUUCGGCUCGUAAAGCUCUGUUGGUAGUGAAGAAAGAUAGAGGUAGUAACUGGCCUUUAUUGGACGGUAAUUACUUAGAAAGUCACGGCUAACUACGUGCCAGCAGCCGCGGGAAUACGUAGGUGGCAAGCGGUGUCCGGAUUUAUUGGGCGUAAAGCGAGUGCAGGCGGUUCAAUAAGUCUGAUGGUAAAUCCUUCGGCUCAACCGGCGAAUUGCAUCAGAAACUGUUGAACUUGAGUGCAGAAGAGGUGAGUGGAACUCCAUGUGUAGCGGUGGAAUGCGUAGAUAUAUGGAAGAACACCAGUGGCGAAGGCGGCUUUCUGGUCUGCAACUGACGCUGAGGCUCGAAAGCAUGGGUAGCGAACAGGAUUAGAUACCCGAGUAGUC